RNAcentral lists this transfer RNA (63 nucleotides) under Xylophaga washingtona. RNAcentral's name for it is "tRNA-Arg". The record is from RNAcentral. Lineage: Eukaryota; Metazoa; Mollusca; Bivalvia; Myida; Xylophagaidae.
GGGGUGGUAGUAAAUCAAUUACGUAUGGUUUCGGCCCAUAAGGAGGGAAAUUCCCCCACCCCU